GGGGAUGACUUGGCUUCGACGGGGAUCUUGUUCUAAGGAAAAGCGAGUCGUAGUUCGCGAAACUACGUUAAAAAAGAGCACCUAAAUUUAAAUGCAGACAACAAUAGAAGUUUUGCACUAGCUGCUUAGUUUAAUUGCGGCGAAUCUCACUCUCUAUCUCUCGUACGAGUUUUGAGAUCUUAAUUAUGACGAGUUGAAUUAAUAUGCAUUGCUUUUGGCAUAUUAAUUUAUUAUAAAAGCUAUAUUCUUAAAUAUUUUGUGGAUUUAUAUUGAGAAAAGAACUUUUAAAAUUCUCUGCACUCGGAGAAGUUCUUUAGAAGGGGUUUUCGGACAUGGGUUCGACUCCCAUCAUCUCCACCA
RNAcentral lists this transfer-messenger RNA (360 nucleotides) under Ezakiella massiliensis. RNAcentral describes it as "Standard tmRNA". It matches the Rfam family "transfer-messenger RNA". Rfam says of the family: Bacterial tmRNA, also known as 10Sa RNA or SsrA, is named for its dual tRNA and mRNA-like properties. Its role is to liberate the mRNA from a stalled ribosome. The record is from RNAcentral. Lineage: Bacteria; Bacillati; Bacillota; Tissierellia.